UUGUAGACAUCGAAAUUUCGGUAAAUAAAUGUUGACUGAUAAAUCAAAGUGUCAACGCUCAUGUAUUACAUAAAUUUUACACGUAACGUGUGACUCAACGAAAAUUGAAAUGAGUUGGAAAAGUCAUCAAAUAGGACACGUGUCAACACCUGGCAGAAAUGACUUAUUUCAUCUGGGAUAUUAUAUUCAAAAUUAGGCUUUGGAAAAUUCUAUAAAUACAAGCCCAUUUCAUUCAUUUGGGGAACCAAUUCAUAUUACACCUUGAAGCUCUGAAGCUCUGAAACUCCGAAGCUCUCAAGCAUCCAGGUUCCCGAAGAAUCAAGAAACUGUUCUUCGUUCUUCGUUCAUCGUUCUUCCAAGAUCAAGCCUCGACGGCCCUUGGAUCAACAAUCAUCCACCAAUUCAAGAUCAAGCCCCGACGGCCCUUGAAGAAAGUGUUCUUCGUUCUUCGUUCUUCCAAGAUCAAGCCCCGACGGCCCUUGGAUCAACCAUCCACCAAUUCAAGAUCAAGCCCCGACGGCCCUUGAAGAAAGCACCAUCGUUCAUCAUCCGUUCAUCCAAGAUCAAGCCCCAACGGCCCUUUGGAUCAACAACGUCGACAAAUCCACGCAUCCAACCGUUCUUCAAGAUCAAGCCCAAAAGCCCUUGAAGAUCCGUUCAUCACUGUUCUUCAAGAUCAAGCCCAAAAGCCCUUGGAGAUCCGUUCAUCACUGUUCUUCAAAGAUCAAGCCCAAAAGCCCCUUUGAAGAUCCACUCAAAUCCACCUUCAAGAUCAAGUCCACGGCCCUUGAAGAACGUUCAUCCUUAGAUCAAGCCCAACGGCCCUUUGGAUCAAUCCACAAAUACACACCUUACGGAGAUCGAAUCAGAGGAUCAAAAUAGAGAGAGAUUGUAACCCAAAAUCAUCAAAUACAAAUAUUUGUUUGUGCACGUUGUUCUUGUCUCUUUCGUUUCAGGAAUUUUCCGUGUUCACAAAAGUAAAUGAAGAAAUGAUUACUAUCUAAGUUAGAGCUGUUAGAGCUUAUUUAAAUUGAAAUUCUCGGAUACACCUCUUUCAAAUCUAGAGCUGUUUUAAAAACAUUUUUAAAAUGAUUGAAAAUUUUUGAGUUCUAAAAGCACUUGCAUUUAGGAAAUUAUGUGUUACUUGCAUGAAAUAUUUCAAAUGAUUUUUAUGAUUCAGUUACAUUUUGUUAUAAAAGUAUUGUCAGUCAAUUUAAAAGCAAUUCUAAACACAAUUUAUGUACAUUUUUCUUUGGGUAAAUUACAUAGUAGCCCCUCAGGUUUGAGGUUUAUUGCAAUCUUAUACAACAUCUUUAAAACAUUUCACUUUCAUACCUCAAGUACUAUUU
This 1349-nucleotide long non-coding RNA is filed under the name Malus domestica (apple). Its description in RNAcentral is "long non-coding RNA (MDOM_LNC009472)". The record is from RNAcentral. Lineage: Eukaryota; Viridiplantae; Streptophyta; Magnoliopsida; Rosales; Rosaceae.